RNAcentral lists this ribosomal RNA (144 nucleotides) under uncultured bacterium. RNAcentral's name for it is "partial 16S ribosomal RNA". It matches the Rfam family "Bacterial small subunit ribosomal RNA", at positions 355 to 491 of the family's 1533-position model. The record is from RNAcentral.
UAGGGAAUUUUCGUCAAUGGGGGCAACCCUGAACGAGCAAUGCCGCGUGAGCGAAGAAGGUCUUCGGAUUGUAAAGCUCUGUUGCCGGGGAAAAAGGAAGGAAAGAGGAAAUGCUUUUCUUUGGAUGGUACCCGGCCAGAAAGU